AGCACAUAGAGCCACGGGGGACUGCCUCGCCAUCCCCACCGCGGCGGCCGCUCUGUUCUUCCACAUACGCGCACCACGGUCCGCGGCGGCGACUCUGGACCGGCGAGAUGUCCACCGACGGCCUCGAGCUCGACGGCGCCGGCCGGUUGGAAUGGUUCUCUCCACCCAGUGGAGUCACAGGAUUCCAUGAGUGCGGCCGAGGUCGAGAUCGACAAGGGCGGCAAAGCACAGCAAGAUGGAGAUGCAGCCAGGUACGAGGUGUGCUCUGAAGCUACGAGUGGUUGGACACGAAGGUUAGUGAGAAAUCCUUUGUGAUUUUGCAUCUGUUCAGCAGGGUUUGCAUCGUACCUGUAUCAGUUAGUUGAUUUUGGCUUGCUAGCUUAGCAGUUCAUCCCAAGGGAAGUUUUGUGUCUGGACACGAGUAUUUCGUCUAGCAUGCAGUUUAGUUUCUGUCCAUUGUCGGUGGUACAAAUUCGGUUGGCUUUACACUUAUGGUUGGUAGUUCAAGUUGUGGUUGUUUGCAUAUAUAUAGUGAUCUAAAAGCUAAUUGGGUGACAGACUGACAGUUCGAUUUUCAAUAGUUAUGUGUGGUGGUUCGAUUUCACCACAUAUGGUGUUAGUUUCCAGAUGUUUUUAGGUGCAAAGUGGGGUGGGUAUGGUAGUGCUAAUUGGUUUGUCAGUAUACACUUCUUGGUUUUAGUUUCAAUGCUAAUUGGAUUGUCAGAUCAUAUACUUUUUUGGGGCACGUGAUCCUAAGCUGGGUGCUAAUUUGGAUUUGUUAAUGGAUGUAGGAUUUGGGGACGUGAGGAAAUGGGACUAGGUCAAGCUUUCAUUCAGUUUCUUAGCAUUCUUGGUACAUGACCAAAGUGGGAUUCAGUGCAUGUCCAAAUGGAUUACCCCGACAAAAAUGUGAUUGCCAUCAGAUUUAGGUUGGUGUCAAUCAGUAGGAGAAAUCUUGUGUGUGAUGAGCUUCGAUUCACUAGAAGGCGCAGGGGGGCUUUUUUGAUUUGUAGGUGGAUCGCCUGAGAGCAUAACUGAUUUUUUUGGCAAAAAUGAAUUUGAUUUGGUAUUAGCGUUCGCAUUUACAUAAUUGUAGUAAGAAUCUGAACAAAUCAGAGUCACUAUCACCAUUUUAUUGUGUGUCUUGGUUUUGUUACUUACUGGACGGUUCGCUCGAGGAAUGCUGAGGCAAACUGAUUGUGCAUAGGUUGUUGUUUUCAGUAAAUUGGCAUGUUUUUUAGAUUACCCUGUUAUCUACCAGAGCGAUAUUCAAAAUGGUUGUUCCAUACAAAGAUUACUUGGCAUGGCAUGCCCUUUAUUCAAUUCCCAGACCGCCCUGACAAAUUUUUGUUUCUAAUAUGUUCUGUCGAGAAACGGUUUCCAGGGAUAGAAUCGGGAAAGCGCUAGAUGAGAGGGAGAUGAACCCUGAGAAACAACGCUUGAAUUGUCUGUUUGCACUUAUGCCGAAGUGCACAAACUGUGGGGUGGUUGGACAUCGCAGCAAUGCAUGCGGUACUAAAAAGAGCUGACCGUUUGAGCCUAACUUCCUCUAGAUUGAAACUGGCUGUGAUGUUUGAUGCCAUCAAGUCUCCAUGUGGUUGUGUGGUGGUAAUUUCUCUAUUUGGCAUGUCUGAAUUUUAAUUUGUGCUACCAACAGUAAUUCUCCCGAUGUCUGUUAACUUCAUCUGAACAAUUUUGCUGUGUGAUUGCAGUUCUGUUGCUUGGUCAACUAAAAUUUUAGUUUUACUACUGAUGGGGUGGCCUGUUCUUAUUUUUGUCAAAAACUG
RNAcentral lists this ribosomal RNA (1787 nucleotides) under Triticum aestivum (bread wheat). RNAcentral's name for it is "partial small subunit ribosomal RNA". The record is from RNAcentral. Lineage: Eukaryota; Viridiplantae; Streptophyta; Magnoliopsida; Poales; Poaceae.